This 74-nucleotide transfer RNA is filed under the name Bremerella volcania. Its description in RNAcentral is "tRNA-Lys". It matches the Rfam family "tRNA". Rfam says of the family: Transfer RNA (tRNA) molecules are approximately 80 nucleotides in length. Their secondary structure includes four short double-helical elements and three loops (D, anti-codon, and T loops). The record is from RNAcentral. Lineage: Bacteria; Pseudomonadati; Planctomycetota; Planctomycetia; Pirellulales; Pirellulaceae.
GAGACCGUAGCUCAGUCGGUAGAGCAACGGACUUUUAAUCCGUAGGUCCUGGGUUCGAGCCCCAGCGGUCUCAC